GUGUGAUACUAGUGUAAGUCGCUCUGGAUAAGAGCGUCUGCUAAAUGACUAUAA
This is a non-coding RNA of Salmo salar (Atlantic salmon), 54 nucleotides long. Lineage: Eukaryota; Metazoa; Chordata; Actinopteri; Salmoniformes; Salmonidae. The record is from Rfam.